AUGGGGAUCAGCAAACGCAUAGGACAGGUACACUCCCUUCUGAGUGACAGCACUUCCCAAAGCCUCGCUCUGCAGCCCUGGAGCCUGCUUCAGCAGCCCUGGGAGCCUGGCCAUGGUGAGGGGAAUAAUACCCAGAGUUGUGGUGCUGAGAAGGUGAAGCUGCAGCGUGAGCCCACCUGGAAUCCUCACUGUAGGAGAAAUGCACUGGGAGCAGCCGUGGACGGGCAGGGUCACCAGCACUGCGGUGCUCGCUCCGUCUCAGUGACUGCAAUUUGUGUGGGACAAUCUGCUCCUUGCACGCGUUGCUCAGAGGCGGAUCCUGUUCAGAAACCCCUUCUCUGCCCCUGUGGAACAGAGGGCUAUGGCACCUUCACAUGGAACCACGCUCAACUGGAAUGUCACAGAUUUGCCUCUGGGGCCAACCUGAGCUGCAGCAGAGCAUGGAGAAGACAGUUUCAGAAGCUGAGACGUGUCUGUGUACCCUUCACAGAAGCAGCACUCCAGAAACAGUUCAUGGGACAGAAGAGAUGGCAUAUUUCGUUUAACAAUGGGGUGUUUAAGGCCUGGUUCUGCAAAGUACACUGGAAGAAAACAGGUAUUUCCUUAUGCAUCAUGCCCUAG
This 621-nucleotide long non-coding RNA is filed under the name Zonotrichia albicollis (white-throated sparrow). RNAcentral describes it as "lncRNA (ENSZALG00000016693.1)". The record is from RNAcentral. Lineage: Eukaryota; Metazoa; Chordata; Aves; Passeriformes; Passerellidae.